This 466-nucleotide ribosomal RNA is filed under the name uncultured bacterium. RNAcentral's name for it is "bacterial SSU rRNA". It matches the Rfam family "Bacterial small subunit ribosomal RNA", at positions 37 to 518 of the family's 1533-position model. The record is from RNAcentral.
AACGAACGCGUGGCGGCAGUGGAUUAGGCAUGACAAGUCGACGAAGCAGCAAUGCUUAGUGGCGCAAGGGUGAGGAACACGUGAGUGACCUACUCGCAAGUUUUGGAACAGCUCCUGGAAACGGGAAUUAAUACCGGAUGUGAUCGAUGAACUGCAUGGUUUAUUGAUUAAAGCAGCAAUGCGCUUGCGGAUGGGCUCGCGUCCCAUUAGCUAGUUGGUGAGGUAACGGCCCACCAAGGCCAUGAUGGGUAGCUGGUCUGAGAGGACGACCAGCCACACUGGGACUGAGAACUGCCCAGACUCCUACGGGAGGCUGCAGUCGAGAAUUUUGGGCAAUGGACGAAAGUCUGACCCAGCAAUGCCGCGUGCGGGAUGAAGGUCUUCGGAUUGUAAACCGCUGUUUGGAGGGACGAAAAUUGACGGUACUUCCAGAGGAAGCCACGGCUAACUACGUGCCAGCCGCUGC